UACGUAGGGUUCAAGCGUUGUCCGGAAUUAUUGGGCGUAAAGAGCGUGUAGGCGGCCCGAUUAGUCCGCUGUGAAAGUCCAGGGCUCAACCCUGGAAUGCCGGUGGAUACUGUCGGGCUAGAGUCCGGAAGGGGCGAGUGGAAUUCCUGGUGUAGCGGUGAAAUGCGCAGAUAUCAGGAGGAACACCUAUUGCGAAGGCAGCUCGCUGGGACGUAACUGACGCUGAGACGCGAAAGCGUGGGGAGCAAACAGG
RNAcentral lists this ribosomal RNA (253 nucleotides) under uncultured bacterium. RNAcentral's name for it is "partial 16S ribosomal RNA". It matches the Rfam family "Bacterial small subunit ribosomal RNA", at positions 524 to 776 of the family's 1533-position model. The record is from RNAcentral.